RNAcentral lists this transfer RNA (76 nucleotides) under Bacillota bacterium. RNAcentral's name for it is "tRNA-Met". It matches the Rfam family "tRNA". Rfam says of the family: Transfer RNA (tRNA) molecules are approximately 80 nucleotides in length. Their secondary structure includes four short double-helical elements and three loops (D, anti-codon, and T loops). Lineage: Bacteria; Bacillati; Bacillota. The record is from RNAcentral. RNAcentral also lists the same sequence under 1 other name.
CGCGGGAUAGAGCAGUUGGCAGCUCGUCGGGCUCAUAACCCGGAGGUCGCAGGUUCGAGUCCUGCUCCCGCAACCA